Molecule: ribosomal RNA, 2068 nt
Filed under: Chromobacterium violaceum
Lineage: Bacteria; Pseudomonadati; Pseudomonadota; Betaproteobacteria; Neisseriales; Chromobacteriaceae
Description: bacterial LSU rRNA
Rfam family: Bacterial large subunit ribosomal RNA
Source: RNAcentral
UUAGGUAGUGCCUCAUGUAUCACUUCCGGGGGUAAAGCACUGUUAUGGCUAGGGGGUCAUUGCGAUUUACCAAACCAUGGCAAACUCUGAAUACCGGAAAGUGCGAGCAUGGGAGACAGACGGUGGGUGCUAACGUCCAUCGUCAAGAGGGAAACAACCCAGACCGCCAGCUAAGGUCCCAAAUGAUCAGUUAAGUGGUAAACGAAGUGGGAAGGCCUAGACAGCCAGGAUGUUGGCUUAGAAGCAGCCAUCAUUUAAAGAAAGCGUAAUAGCUCACUGGUCGAGUCGUCCUGCGCGGAAGAUGUAACGGGGCUCAAACUGAUAACCGAAGCUGCGGAUGGGCACGUAAGUGUCCGUGGUAGGGGAGCGUUCUGUAGGUCUGUGAAGGUGUCUCGUAAGGGAUGCUGGAGAUAUCAGAAGUGCGAAUGCUGACAUGAGUAGCGAUAAAGCGGGUGAAAAGCCCGCUCGCCGAAAGCCCAAGGUUUCCUACGCAACGUUCAUCGGCGUAGGGUGAGUCGGCCCCUAAGGCGAGGCUGAAAAGCGUAGUCGAUGGGAAACGGGUUAAAAUUCCCGUACUUUUGUGUAGUGCGAUGUGGGGACGGAGAAGGUUAGGUCAUCAGACUGUUGGAAUAGUCUGUUUAAGCCGGUAGGCGUGAGGGGUAGGCAAAUCCGCCCUUCUUUAACGCCGAGACGUGAUGACGAGGGUCUACGGACCUGAAGUGACUGAUACCACGCUUCCAGGAAAAGCCACUAAGCUUCAGCUACACAAGAACCGUACCGCAAACCGACACAGGUGGGCAGGAUGAGAAUUCUAAGGCGCUUGAGAGAACUCAGGAGAAGGAACUCGGCAAAUUGAUACCGUAACUUCGGGAGAAGGUAUGCCUCUUAGAGUGUAGGACUUCGCGUUCGAAGCUUUGAGAGGUCGCAGAGAAUCGGUGGCUGCGACUGGUUUAACAAAAACACAGCACUGUGCCAACACGAAAGUGGACGUAUACGGUGUGACGCCUGCCCGGUGCCGGAAGGUUAAGUGAUGGGGUGCAAGCUCUUGAUCGAAGCCCCGGUAAACGGCGGCCGUAACUAUAACGGUCCUAAGGUAGCGAAAUUCCUUGUCGGGUAAGUUCCGACCCGCACGAAUGGCGUAACGAUGGCCACACUGUCUCCUCCUGAGACUCAGCGAAGUUGAAGUGUUUGUGAAGAUGCAAUCUCCCCGCUGCUAGACGGAAAGACCCCGUGAACCUUUACUGUAGCUUUGCAUUGGACUUUGAACAGACUUGUGUAGGAUAGGUGGGAGGCUUUGAAGCCAGGACGCUAGUUCUGGUGGAGCCGUCCUUGAAAUACCACCCUGGUGUGUUUGAGGUUCUAACCUUGGUCCGUGAUCCGGAUUGGGGACAGUGCAUGGUAGGCAGUUUGACUGGGGCGGUCUCCUCCCAAAGUGUAACGGAGGAGUUCGAAGGUUACCUAGGUACGGUCGGAAAUCGUGCUGAUAGUGCAAUGGCAAAAGGUAGCUUAACUGCGAGACCGACAAGUCGAGCAGGUGCGAAAGCAGGACAUAGUGAUCCGGUGGUUCUGAAUGGAAGGGCCAUCGCUCAACGGAUAAAAGGUACUCCGGGGAUAACAGGCUGAUACCGCCCAAGAGUUCACAUCGACGGCGGUGUUUGGCACCUCGAUGUCGGCUCAUCACAUCCUGGGGCUGUAGCCGGUCCCAAGGGUAUGGCUGUUCGCCAUUUAAAGUGGUACGUGAGCUGGGUUCAAAACGUCGUGAGACAGUUUGGUCCCUAUCUGCAGUGGGCGUUGGAAGUUUGACGGGGGCUGCUCCUAGUACGAGAGGACCGGAGUGGACGCACCUCUGGUGUACCGGUUGUGACGCCAGUCGCAUUGCCGGGUAGCUAAGUGCGGAAGAGAUAACCGCUGAAAGCAUCUAAGCGGGAAACUUGCCUGAAGAUGAGACUUCCCUGGAGGCUUGACCUCCCUGAAGAGUCGUUCGAGACCAGGACGUUGAUAGGUCGGGUGUGGAAGCGCUGUGAGGCGUGAAGCUAACCGAUACUAAUUGCUCGUGAGGCUUGAUCCU